RNAcentral lists this long non-coding RNA (370 nucleotides) under Salmo salar (Atlantic salmon). Its description in RNAcentral is "lncRNA (ENSSSAG00000094574.1)". The record is from RNAcentral. Lineage: Eukaryota; Metazoa; Chordata; Actinopteri; Salmoniformes; Salmonidae.
UGAUGGACAUCUAUUUUCCUGGAAGGUAUUUGAGUGUUCAAGGGCUCCCGAGUGGCGCAGCGGUCUUAGGCACUGCAUCUCCGUGCAAGAGGUGUCACUACAGUCCCUGUUUCCAAUCCAGGCUGUAUCACAUCCAGCCGUGAUUGGGAGUCCCAUAGGGCGGCGCACAGCAUCGUCCUGGUUAGGUUCUGGCCGGGAUCCUUCCAUCAGCAGCACCAUACCAUCAGUGUCCUUCCAGAACCUUCCAGCACCAUACCAUCAGUGUUCUUCCAGAACCUUCCAGCACCAUACCAUCAGUGUUCUUCCAGAUCAGAUCCUUCCAUCAGCAGCACCAUACCAUCAGUGUUCUUCCAUAUCCUUCCAUCAGCAG